GAUGAACGCUGGCGGCGUGCCUAAUACAUGCAAGUCGAGCGAACAGAUAAGGAGCUUGCUCCUUUGACGUUAGCGGCGGACGGGUGAGUAACACGUGGAUAACCUACCUAUAAGACUGGGAUAACUUCGGGAAACCGGAGCUAAUAUCGGAUAACAUAUUGAACCGCAUGGUUCAAUAGUGAAAGGCGGCUUUGCUGUCACUUAUAGAUGGAUCCGCGCCGUAUUAGCUAGUUGGUAAGGUAACGGCUUACCAAGGCAACGAUACGUAGCCGACCUGAGAGGGUGAUCGGCCACACUGGAACUGAGACACGGUCCAGACUCCUACGGGAGGCAGCAGUAGGGAAUCUUCCGCAAUGGGCGAAAGCCUGACGGAGCAACGCCGCGUGAGUGAUGAAGGUCUUCGGAUCGUAAAACUCUGUUAUCAGGGAAGAACAAAUGUGUAAGUAACUGUGCACAUCUUGACGGUACCUGAUCAGAAAGCCACGGCUAACUACGU
Molecule: ribosomal RNA, 496 nt
Filed under: uncultured bacterium
Lineage: Bacteria
Description: partial 16S ribosomal RNA
Rfam family: Bacterial small subunit ribosomal RNA
Source: RNAcentral